Molecule: ribosomal RNA, 253 nt
Filed under: uncultured bacterium
Lineage: Bacteria
Description: partial 16S ribosomal RNA
Rfam family: Bacterial small subunit ribosomal RNA
Source: RNAcentral
UACGGGGGGGGUAAGCGUUGUUCGGAAUUACUGGGCGUAAAGGGCUCGUAGGUGGCCAACUAAGUCGGACGUGAAAUCCCUCGGCUUAACCGGGGAACUGCGUCCGAUACUGGUUGGCUUGAGUUUGGGAGAGGGAUGCGGAAUUCCAGGUGUAGCGGUGAAAUGCGUAGAUAUCUGGAGGAACACCGGUGGCGAAGGCGGCAUCCUGGACCAAUACUGACGCUGAGGAGCGAAAGCCAGGGGAGCAAACGGG